AAGUUUAUUGUAAAAUAAAUUCUUUCUAAUCUGUUCUUAUCAGCUUAAUAUCUGAUACGCUCCCCAUCGGGGAGCCAGAAUAUUAAACUGUUUUUUGGAAAGUGGCGGAGAGUUUCUGAAGCUUGCUUCGGCUCCGCCGCGGUCGUCCCUACUCUGCAGUAUCGUGGGGCACGGCCUAUUUUU
Neodiprion fabricii is the source of this 183-nucleotide small nuclear RNA. RefSeq annotates it as U2 spliceosomal RNA. Lineage: Eukaryota; Metazoa; Arthropoda; Insecta; Hymenoptera; Diprionidae. The record is from RefSeq and is a predicted model, not a curated record. The transcript has a single exon.